GAUGAACGCUGGCGGCGUGCCUAAUACAUGCAAGUCGAGCGAACGCACGAGAAGCUUGCUUCUCUGAUGUUAGCGGCGGACGGGUGAGUAACACGUGGAUAACCUACCUUUAAAACUGGGAUAACUUCGGGAAAGCGUAGCUAAUACCGGAUAAUAUUUUGAACGUCAUGGUUCAAAAGUGAAAGACGGCCUUGCUGUCACUUAUUGAUGGAUCGGCGCUGGAUUAGCUAGUUGGUAAGGUAACGUCUUACCAAGGAGACGAUGCAUAUCCGACCUGAGCGGACGAUCAGCCACACUGGGACGGAGACACGGCCCAGACUCCGACGGGAGGCAGCAGUGGGGAAUUUUGGACAAGGGGGGAAACCCUGAUCCAGCAAUGCCGCGUGGGUGAAGAAGGUCUUCGGGUCGUAAAGCUCUUUUAUCCGGAAAGAAAUUGCGCUGGAUAAUAUCUGGCGUGGAGGACGGUACCGGAAGAAAAAGCCCCGGCUAACUACGUG
Molecule: ribosomal RNA, 497 nt
Filed under: uncultured bacterium
Lineage: Bacteria
Description: partial 16S ribosomal RNA
Rfam family: Bacterial small subunit ribosomal RNA
Source: RNAcentral